AUGAACGCUGGCGGCGUGUUUUAGGCAUGCAAGUCAAGGGGGCUUCGUAGCAAUACGGAGCAACCGGCAAACGGGUGCGUAACACAUUGGUAACCUACCUCGGACCCGGGGAUAACUCCGCGAAAGCGGAGCUAAUACCCGAUGGUCCUUCUCACCGCAAGGUGAGAACGUAAACGGCGCAAGCCGGUCCGAGAGGGGCCUAUGGUCUAUCAGCUAGUUGGUGAGGUAAUGGCUCACCAAGGCAAUGACAGAUAGCGGGCGUGAGAGCGCGACCCGCCUCAGUGGGACUGAGACACUGCCCACACUCCUACGGGAGGCUGCAGUCAAGAAUCUUCCCCAAUGGACGAAAGUCUGAGGGAGCGACGCCGCGUGCAGGAAGAAACCCCUCGGGGCGUAAACUGCUUUUCUCUGGGAAUAACUCUGAAGGUACCAGAGGAAUAAGAGGCUGCUAACUUCGU
This 458-nucleotide ribosomal RNA is filed under the name uncultured bacterium. RNAcentral's name for it is "bacterial SSU rRNA". It matches the Rfam family "Bacterial small subunit ribosomal RNA", at positions 29 to 506 of the family's 1533-position model. The record is from RNAcentral.